This 1309-nucleotide long non-coding RNA is filed under the name Manihot esculenta (cassava). RNAcentral's name for it is "long non-coding RNA (MESC_LNC004361)". Lineage: Eukaryota; Viridiplantae; Streptophyta; Magnoliopsida; Malpighiales; Euphorbiaceae. The record is from RNAcentral.
UAACUUCAACUUUGAAAUCAUCCAUAAACUUUAUGUAAUUGCUAAACACGCCAUUCAAUUAAUACGCACACAAUCUCAAAUCUUUGUUUUCAUUCUGAUAUUUUCAUCCAACGCGGCGCGGCAGCCUGCUACUUCAACAGCAACACGGCUCUUGCCUCUGUACUUCUCUGUUUCUUGUCUAAAUUUUAUUUUUUUUUCUUUUUUCAUUUAUAAGAAAUUUUAAACUUUACAGAUCAAGAUCUCCUAACAUCCAACGUUAUUAUCCACAUUUGGAGACAUCGUGGGUCCCAUUCAUGUAUCUGUCAAAAGUUGGGAGAGACACAGCACACAAGCCCACAAUGCCCAAAUAAAAUCCUCAAGCGCAUGUAGAAUGGAAAAGGUGACUUCAGACAUAGAUUUUAUGUUUACUGUUUCAUAAUUAAGACAUAACUCUAUGCCCAUUAUCUUCGCAUUACUGUACCCACAAAGCUUUUAAAAAAAAAUCUCAUUUUUUAAUUUUGUCUUGCAUUGUACGGACACUCACUUUAUAUUUCUCUACUUCUCUGAAUUUCAAUCAUAUCAGCUUAGGCAUAAUCUAUGCUGACCUCUUCUGUAAUUUUUCGGAUUCAUUCAUUUUUUUGUGUAUGUAUGAAAAAAUGAUUAGAAAUAAAAAAAAAAUAUCAAUUUAGUUGAAACCCAGAAAAGAAAAUGGUGGGAUUUAUUUAGUUUAAAACAAAAAAUGUCAUAGGUUGCCUAAAUUGGAAAGUAUGAAUAAAAAAUGCUGUGUGAGAUGAUAAAAUUGUAGUUGAUGUAACUGGAGAGAGGUUGAAUUGCUUGCUAGUUGUAGAUGGAAUAAAAUAGACACUGCAGCCUGCAGAAUGGUCAAGAGGGCGAUGAUACAGAAUUCAUGCACUAGAACCUCAACGGCCCAUGAGGCAUCAGGCUUCGAUGCUUCAGCUUGAGUAGGUAGGUAUAGAUGGCGACUUCUUAAUUCUUUAAUUAAUUACAACUCUGUCAAAUUAUUAUAUAGUAAUUUGUAGAAUUAAUUAACUCUUAUGUAUUAAUUAAUUCCUAUUCCUAUUGCUACUGUUGAUGUAAUCUGAAUAUACCCAUGAGUUGAAUAUUUUAGAGAGCAAUUACAGUGCACUAUUUUAUUUACUUUCACUUGCAAGCCAACUACUGUUAUAUUUUCUAAUUAACGACCAAAUGUUAACAUUUAGGGACAAGAAUUUGAUUGAUAAUUCACUGCUUUUUUAUAGUGCCAGCUCUCAGCCAUUGUUAAAACCCAAGAGCCUGGUUCAUUCCUGGGUCAAACCGGAAGCAAUCCUCC